RNAcentral lists this ribosomal RNA (450 nucleotides) under uncultured Gammaproteobacteria bacterium. RNAcentral's name for it is "bacterial SSU rRNA". It matches the Rfam family "Bacterial small subunit ribosomal RNA", at positions 45 to 490 of the family's 1533-position model. Lineage: Bacteria; Pseudomonadati; Pseudomonadota; Gammaproteobacteria. The record is from RNAcentral.
GGCCUAACACAUGCAAGUCGAGCGGUAGAGAGAAGCUUGCUUCUCUUGAGAGCGGCGGACGGGUGAGUAAUGCCUAGGAAUCUGCCUGGUAGUGGGGGAUAACGUUCGGAAACGGACGCUAAUACCGCAUACGUCCUACGGGAGAAAGCAGGGGACCUUCGGGCCUUGCGCUAUCAGAUGAGCCUAGGUCGGAUUAGCUAGUUGGUGAGGUAAUGGCUCACCAAGGCGACGAUCCGUAACUGGUCUGAGAGGAUGAUCAGUCACACUGGAACUGAGACACGGUCCAGACUCCUACGGGAGGCAGCAGUGGGGAAUAUUGGACAAUGGGCGAAAGCCUGAUCCAGCCAUGCCGCGUGUGUGAAGAAGGUCUUCGGAUUGUAAAGCACUUUAGGUUGGGAAGAAGUGUAUGCGGUGAAUAGCCGUGUAUGUUGACGGUACCGACAGAAUAAG